UUUUCUCGUUGCAAAUCCAUUCCCAAUCAAGAAAUCAGCGCCUGCAUAGGAUGUAGUAUCAGGGCAAACAUCAGCCUUUAUUAAUCCAAGAUCUAUACACCAAAGAAUCCAAUAUGUGUACAGGUGUUGGCCGUCAAGCAGAGUUUAAGUUGGAUUAAACACAGAUCAACCUCACACCAGUGGUCACAGGAAUUGAGAUUAGAAAGUUACAGUAGGUGGGCAGAUUUAUUUGGAGCAGAUUCAUUGUAGCUUUAUUCCUGUUUGAGAGUCCAGCACAGGCAGCAGAGCCAACUGCAUAGCAGACAUCCAGGUUGAAUUUACUACAGUUAUGGGGGACAAGCAGCAAGAGGAUGCCAAGCAAAGCCAGCGAAGGCAGAUAAAGAAGUAGCAGGCAGCAUCUGAUUAAUCCAUGG
Molecule: non-coding RNA, 413 nt
Organism: Drosophila bipectinata
Lineage: Eukaryota; Metazoa; Arthropoda; Insecta; Diptera; Drosophilidae
Source: RefSeq, a predicted model, not a curated record